RNAcentral lists this long non-coding RNA (339 nucleotides) under Marmota monax (woodchuck). The record is from RNAcentral. Lineage: Eukaryota; Metazoa; Chordata; Mammalia; Rodentia; Sciuridae.
AAGAGUUGGAGAAGAGAAUGAAAAUGCAGCAGGAAGUGGUGGAGAUGCGGAAAAAGAAUGAAGAAUACAAGAAACUUGCUCUUGCAGGAGCAGGGCAACCUGUGAAGAAAUCAGUGAGCCAAGUAACUAAAUCAGUUGACUUCCACUUCCGCACAGAUGAGCGAGUCAAACAGCACCCUAAGAACCAGGAGGAGUAUAAGGAAGUAAACUUUGUAUCUGAACUUCGAAAGCAUCCUUCAUCUCCUGCUCAUGUGCUUAAGGGAUGUACCAUUACAAAGCCUUUUAACCUCUCCCAAGGAAAGAAGAGAACAUUUGAUGAAGCAGCUUCUACAUAUGUGC